Non-coding RNA from Potamilus streckersoni, 76 nucleotides. The record is from the annotation of a GenBank genome assembly. NCBI's taxonomy places the organism in Eukaryota, Metazoa, Mollusca, Bivalvia, Unionida, Unionidae.
GACCGCACCGGUGGCCUAGUGGUUAGAGCGUUCGCCUCGGGUGCGGAAGGUCGCGCGUUUGACCCCGGCCGAGUCA